RNAcentral lists this transfer RNA (74 nucleotides) under Nitrospina sp. RNAcentral describes it as "tRNA-Gln". It matches the Rfam family "tRNA". Rfam says of the family: Transfer RNA (tRNA) molecules are approximately 80 nucleotides in length. Their secondary structure includes four short double-helical elements and three loops (D, anti-codon, and T loops). RNAcentral also lists the same sequence under 2 other names. The record is from RNAcentral. Lineage: Bacteria; Pseudomonadati; Nitrospinota; Nitrospinia; Nitrospinales; Nitrospinaceae.
UCGGGUAUCGUCUAAUGGUAGGACGUCAGAUUCUGGUUCUGAAUGUCGAGGUUCGAGUCCUUGUACCCGAGCCA